Long non-coding RNA from Megalobrama amblycephala (Wuchang bream), 119 nucleotides. RefSeq lists it as uncharacterized. NCBI's taxonomy places the organism in Eukaryota, Metazoa, Chordata, Actinopteri, Cypriniformes, Xenocyprididae. The transcript is spliced from 2 exons. The record is from RefSeq and is a predicted model, not a curated record.
CUCCAGCAAGCAGCAGUAAAGACCAUGCGGUUAUGGCUGCUAUCAUUCCCUGAUUUAAGUUGGUCAGAAGGCACAUUCGUUUUACGUUAUUCCAAGACCGACAGUAAAGUUGAAGAAAA